GCAAUGCACGAAAGUGUGACGGGGCUACCCCGAGUGCCAUCCGCUGAGGGUGGCUUUUGCUUGGUGUAAUGAGCCAGGCGAAUAAGGAGAGGGCAAGUCUGGUGUCAGCCGCCGCGGUAAUACCAGCUCUCCGAGUUGUAGGGAUGAUUAUUGGGCUUAAAGCGUCCGUAGCCGGCUUAGCAAGUCCUCCGUUAAAUUCAGCAACCUAAUUGUUGAGCUGCGGGGGAUACUACUAGGCUAGGAGGCGGGAGAGGCCGACGGUAUUCUCGGGGUAGGGGUGAAAUCCUAUAAUCCUAGGAGGACCACCAGUGGCGAAGGCGAUCGGCUAGAACGCGCUCGACGGUGAUGGACGAAAGCUGGGGGAGCGAACCGGAUUAGAUACCCGGGUAGUCCCAGCUGUAAACGAUGCGGGCUAGGUGUUGGGGUGGUUACGAACCGCUUCAGUGCCGUAGGGAAACUGUUAAGCUCGCCGUCUGGGAAGUACGGUCGCAAGGCUGAAACUUAA
This 505-nucleotide ribosomal RNA is filed under the name uncultured archaeon. RNAcentral describes it as "bacterial SSU rRNA". It matches the Rfam family "Archaeal small subunit ribosomal RNA", at positions 352 to 859 of the family's 1478-position model. The record is from RNAcentral.